AAAAGCAGGAAGCUCCCUUUCCCACUAGCAAAUUCAAAAUCAAAUCUUUUCAUGUUCCCAAUAUUUUCUUUUCCCUCUUAACUUUCCCUGAAAAUGUAGUAGUAGUAGUGAAAGUAAAACCAAGAAAAGAAAAAAAGAAAAGAAAAGCAUGAUUAUUAAUGUAAUGAUCACUUUAUAGUGUCAGCUUUUUUAUUUCAUUCACAGAAUGAUGAAGUUCUAAAAUGACAAAGUCUCAGUUCAUCUCCUCUCUGCUAAAAGAAAGCAAAGAAAGAGAAAAUGCAGUAUUUUUUGGGCCAACAGUUGAAUUAUCAUUUCAGAGCUUUUAGGUUUAAGGGCUUAUAAUAUGGCUUUGUGCAAGGAGGUUUCUGUGAUGCAAAUCUUGGUUUUCUGGUGGUUAAUGGGCAUAUAAGUUAUAUUUACUUUCUGGAUAAGAUCCAAAGUUGUGUAAAGUGUAAUUUUUCGGAUUUUUCCAGUUGAAUCUGUUGUCUAUUAGGAGAGUUUUUUAAGCAAUGUGGUGGUUUACUAAGAUCUUAGGGGUUUCGCAUAGUGAUGUCGAGAAUUUGGAGGGCUAAAGUUGAAAUUGGUGAAGGAAGAAGGUAAGUUUGCAUAAAAUGCCAGGGGUUUCAAGAAUAAGGUCAAUGAAUGUGGCUGAUAUAGAAGUAAGGCAAAUCUUUGGACCAGCUGAGAAUAAGGCACAGAGGUCACUUGGUUCAAGAAAACCAGUUUCAAAACCUAUUAGGAAGGCAGAAAAGUCUACUGAGGAAGUUGAGGUGGUGGAGGAUAAGAACGGUCGUCGAUUAUCACCUUUACUGCAAUCUGUCAAAGUUCCUAAAAUACUUCAGCGACAAGACUCGUUAUUGCAUUCGAGUCUGUCACUCAGUGCUUCAUGUUCUUCUGAUUAUGUAUCAGAUUCUUCACCUGAAGGUUUACAAUCAAAGAAAAGGUGUGCUUGGGUGACACCUAAUACUGGACCCUUGAACUUUCAACUUCUUAUACUGCCUUCCUUUUCAAUCAGAUCCAUCUUACGCAAAUUUCCAUAAUGAAGAAUGGGGAAUUCCAGUACAUGAUGAUAAGUAAGGUUCCAGAUUGCUGUUCGGAGCGUCCUUUACAAAAUACAGACGCUAAUUCUUGUUAUAUUAGUUCAGGAGAUUAUUUGAACUCCUUGUUCUUUGUGGAGCAUUGGCUGAACUCACUUGGCCUUUCAUUCUUAGCAAAAGACAUAUAUUCAGGGAAGUAUUUGCAGAUUUUGAUCCUAUAGCAGUGGCAAAAUUGAAUGAAAAGAAGAUUUUAGUACCUAGAAGUGCAGCAUGCUCACUACUAUCAGAGUUGAAACUGCGAGCAGUAAUUGAAAAUGCUCGUCAAGUAUCAAAGAUCAUUGAUGAAUUUGGGUCAUUUGACAAGUAUAUCUGGAGCUUUGUGAACCACAAGCCUAUAGUUGGCAGAUUCCGAUAACAAAUGACCAUCUUAUUAGCUGCUUCAGAUUUCAGGACUGUGUGGCAGCUGCUGAAGGAAAACAAUAGGAUCUAAACGAAGAUAAUUAUACUGAGGUAGCAAAAGCAAAUGAAGCCAUUGAAGCAAAGAAGUGUAGAUCGAUCGAUGAACUGAGUUUCUCAUUGGUGUGAUUGAGCCAUUGUGCAUUUUAAUGAGACAAUUCAGAGCUUACUUGGUCUAUCGUAAACAAUCUCUUUACCUUCCCAGGGUAAGGGUAAGGUCUGCGUACACACUACCCUUUCCAGACCCCACUUGUGAGAUUCAAAUGGGUUGUUGUUGUUGUAAUUCAGCGCUUACUUGUAACAUCUGGUGAUCAUCUAAGCUCACACAGAUUUAGUAGCAGAACUGGUCGUGUACAGAAACGACGUCGAUUCCUCUGCAUUAUAGAUUCUUAGAUUUGUAGAUUAUUAUUACUAGAUGAAAAUUGAGUUAAGUAGUGGUAACUUUUGUAGUGUACAGUGUGUAAUGUUAUUAUUACAAGUUUACA
This is a non-coding RNA of Nicotiana tabacum (common tobacco), 1978 nucleotides long. NCBI's taxonomy places the organism in Eukaryota, Viridiplantae, Streptophyta, Magnoliopsida, Solanales, Solanaceae. The record is from RefSeq and is a predicted model, not a curated record.